CGAGCCCCCGCACUACGAUGGCAUCGAGUGUCUGGCCAUCCAGGGGGACGUCCUGUUCAGUGGCUCCCGGGAUAAUGGCAUCAAGAAGUGGGACCUGGACCAGCAGGGGCUCGUGCAGCAAAUCCCCACGGCGCACAAGGACUGGGUGUGCGCCCUGGCCUUCGUCCCGGGCCGCCCCAUGCUGCUGAGCGCGUGCCGCGCAGGCGUCAUCAAGGUCUGGAACGUCGACAACUUCACGCCCAUCGGCGAGAUCAAGGGCCACGACAGCCCCAUCAAUGCCAUCUGCACCAACGCCAAGCACAUCUUCACCGCCUCCAGUGACCUGACAGUGAAGUUCUGGAGUGCCCGGCGCCUGGUACCCAGCGGCCCCCACUAGGAGUGAGCUCAGAGGACAGCCUGACCCUCGGCCCAGCAGCCGGGAUGCACAGAGGGGAAGCUGGGGCCCGGCGGGGCGGCGCCCGGGGGACAGGGGCUGUGGCCCUCCUGCCCGCCUUCCUCUCCCUGACCUUCCCACGGGAUACUGCCCCCCUCCCUCCCCUGCCUCUUGGGGACAGGGAGGUCCGGGAGUUAAUUAAGCUGUGAAGCCAACGGGCGUUUCCCCUCAUUUCUCUCCCUGCAGCCUGCCCCCGCCCAACCUGUCCCCGUGUUUUCUUGCCGAGCUGGCUGCGCCCUUCCUCCAGCCUUGGCCCGGGGGGCCUGUCUGGGAGGUGGGGCAGCCCUCGCCGUGCCCCUCUGGCCAGCAGGCCUCCCCUACAUCCUCUGGCCAGGCCACUGCACCUGCCUCUGAGCCCAGAAAGAUAGCCCUCAGGUAACCAUGGAAACCAGGUGUAGGCAGCUGGCCCUGCAGCUGACCUUAGCCCCUCGGCCACCAGUGGCCACUCUCCGUGGACCCCAGCAAUUCCUUGGGUCCCUUUCUGAUGGGGCCACGGUGGAUCUUCUAGAAAGAUUCCUUUGGGGAGAUGGUCAGCGUACUUCAAUUAUUUAAUUUAUUUUUUAUUUUUAUUUUUGCUGUUGCCUCCUGGAAACUGACUUGAAGUUUCUUCCCACAAGCUUGUUCCUUCAGCUCUUAGGGGCCAGGAGUCCUGGAGGGGAUCCGCCCCCCCACCCUCCAGGGCCGCCCCCCCAUUUGCUUUGCAGAGGAGGGCGGCGCCCCUUUGACUCUGCAGCCUGGGCCCGUCCCCGACCUCACCCGGGGGCCGCUCUAGUGCCCCCGCCUCCGGCCGCUUGGCGCGUCAGUGCCUUCCUACGCCGGGGCCUGGCACCCGCCCCGGGCAGCCUUACACCAGCCAUGCCCGCAGAGCCACAUGUGUCUUCUCACCCGCGGGGUCUCCUGCCCGCUGUCCCCACUCGCAGAGCCCCAGGUGGACCACACAGGAAGCAGCUCGGAAGACUGUCCACCAUGAAGGGGCUUGGACGGCACACCCGGCCUGGCCCCUCCCCAGUCCCCCUUCAUCUCACCCUGGCCAAGCAGAGCCCCCGGCGUCUUUCCCUGGUUAUUCAGGAGACGCGUUCAAGCCUUAACUGGCACGGGCCAGGGUCUCUCCCUGUAGGGCCAGCGGUGAGGAUGGACUCCACUGAGUUUCUCCUUUCCUUGGGGCUGUGGACUCCCCGCUCCCGGGAUGUUGUUAAAUCCGCAUUCUUUUUCUUUCUUUUUUUUUUUUUUUUUACACACUUUCUCUGAUGCUUAACUGGUCUUGUGCUUCCCGGCCUCACUCAGUCUGAGGGCCGGGAGCCCCAGCUCUGUUCAGAGGACGCAGUGACUUUUGGAUCUUCCGGAGGUGGCCCUGUGCUCUCCCCUCGGUGCCCCUCCCCACGUGGCCAGGGCAGAACUCGCCCUGUCCCCACUGCUCCAAGCUGCACCCCAGCUCAGAAAGCCAUCCUGCUGUGAGGGCCCCCUGCUGGACUUGGGGUCGACAUCGAGGGAGCAGACGUGCAGCAGGGACACGCCCAGAGCUGGGACAGUGUCUUCAGGACUGGAAACCCCUCCUGCUGGGCCAUCCCAGGGGUGCCGGGAGCCCCCUCAGCCGCUCAGAAGUGGGUACAAUUCUCUACUUGGGCCCCAGCCCUCCCCCCACCUCAGCAGAAAGCUUCAACCUUGCCUCCUGUAAGAAAGAAUCUGCAUGACUGUUUACAAACUGUAGAAACACAAAAGACUGGAGGCCUCAGCCUGGGGCCACUGGGCAGCGGCUGCAGGCCUGUCCUUGCACGAGAUGGGCCCUUUGGCCCGCGAGAGGUGCUCAGCGCCCUUGCCCGUUUUCUGCUGUUUCUUAUGGGUCAGCUACCUCAUGGCAGGCUGGCUCUGCUGUCCUGGCGGGAAGCACUGACUCUGAACUUGAGGUCUCGGGAGCCUUUCCCAGCUGUGCUCCAGAGCACUGAAGUCUGCCCGCUCCUUCGGGGAUGGGUUGGUUACCUGGUGGGGGGCCCCCAGUGCCCCCCGAUGCACAAGCAUCCUCAAUGUGGAAGCACAAAAUGGCCGUGAUUUGAGCGCAAGGCGGGGCCGGUGGCAGGCGGCCUGGGCGAACCCGCCAGGAGGCUCCUCCCAGCGGGAGACGGAGGAUGCCCACUUCAGGGUUUGCCCUUGCUCCGACAGGGCUCGGCCCGCAGCCUGUCCUAAUUCCGGGACUCAUCCUACUACUUCUGCCCUGCUGUGCCCACCCAAAGGCUUGAGGCUGGCCCUGCAGGCAGGCCACACUGGAGGGCUGGGGGCCCCGGAGUGGCACCCUUUUUCCCCGACAUCCCAAAUUGUUGAAUGCUCGAUCCCAGGUCCAUCCCAGCCCCACUGACCCAUAUCCUGUUCCGGGGCUGAGCCCCGGGAAAGCUCUCAAAGCUGGCUGCCAAGCUCCCCUGACGGGACCAUCUUCCGGCCACUGCCCAUGGCCUUCUCAGCACGGUCCUGGGGCAGGCCUCUGCUCUCAGCAUUAACCAGGCGAGUGUUUGCUUCCGUCUGCAGGGCGGGCUCCUCCGAGGCACCUGGAGUUGAGUCUGGAGCUCGCCAAGGAGAGAGGAAGGCUGAGAGAGGCCAGCACGCCCGAGCCUUUGAGGCGGUCAGGGUGCCGCCUUGACCCCUUGGGAGGCCAUCUGUGGGUCCAGGCAUGGUCCGGCCCUGCUGCCCGCCAGGGCCCGGGUGGCUUGGGCAGAGAGAGUUUAAAGCACAAACCACCGGAGGGAGGACUGUCACCAGGACUUGCUCACGCCACCCGGUGUGGCAGAGACGCUGGCAGGGCUGCUGUACGCUCGGGGCUUCCUGGCCUCUCCCACCGUUGCGGGGCCUGGCUCCCGGGCAUCCUCUGAAGCGGUCUGGGCCGGGUGCGGGCACACCCCCUGGUCGUUCAUCCCCACGUCGCCCGGUGUGCUGACCACCGUGUUGUGUGGCCAGGGCCUGCCCUGCCAGAGCGCUGAGCUCCUUCCCACCAAGUGGCCCAAACCCAGCGCACCUGUCCCUUUGCACCCCGAGCAGCCAGGGCUUGGCUGCUGCCCCCCACAAUCCCUCCUCUUUUGGCUCCCAAACCCUUCCCAACCCUCUGAUGUGCAAAGAUAGAGUUGACAGGGAAAGUUCUGAUUCUUCUAAGGCAUCUUUGUUCUACUCCCCCUUCCCCAGUGCUCAGAGGAGCUCCCAGCUGCACCACACCCUAGUCCAGCCCUUUGAACUCCUGUCCCGAGGGCCUUGCAGGGAAGCAGGGACAGUUCCGGGAAGAGCCGAGGGUCAGAGAAGACCCCUGCCGUGAAGCCCUGCCCUGCCCACCAGCUCUUUUCUAGCUAUCCCCUGCCCGGGCGCAGGGUUGCAUUUGGUUCAGCUCCUCCACUGGGUGGUAGCACAGGUGUAUAUAUGUUUUGUACGUCUGCUGAUGACUGUACAUAGUGUAUGAAAGUUAUUUAAGCCUCAUGCUGUACAUUUCUGUUCCCGGACCAGAUGUGAGUGUUCUGAGAAGCUGUCAUAAAUAAAACGCGAAUGACCCU
Molecule: long non-coding RNA, 3957 nt
Organism: Physeter macrocephalus (sperm whale)
Lineage: Eukaryota; Metazoa; Chordata; Mammalia; Artiodactyla; Physeteridae
Exons: 3
Source: RefSeq, a predicted model, not a curated record